RNAcentral lists this ribosomal RNA (301 nucleotides) under uncultured bacterium. RNAcentral describes it as "partial 16S ribosomal RNA". It matches the Rfam family "Bacterial small subunit ribosomal RNA", at positions 509 to 809 of the family's 1533-position model. The record is from RNAcentral.
CAGCCGCCACGGGAAUACGUAGGGUGCAAGCGUUAAUUGGAAUUACUGGGCGUAAAGCGUGCGCAGGCGGUUAUAUAAGACAGAUGUGAAAUCCCCGGGCUCAACCUGGGAACUGCAUUUGUGACUGUAUAGCUAGAGUACGGCAGAGGGGGAUGGAAUUCCGCGUGUAGCAGUGAAAUGCGUAGAUAUGCGGAGGAACACCGAUGGCGAAGGCAAUCCCCUGGGCCUGUACUGACGCUCAUGCACGAAAGCGUGGGGAGCAAACAGGAUUAGAUACCCGAGUAGUCCCUGUCUCUUAUAA